UUCUUACUUCUAACGAAAGGGCUUUUCUUCGAUUUUUUAAUAAAGACGAGUUUUGACUCCUUUUUUAUAUUUUCGAUUUUCCAUUAUAAAAUUGAAAGUUAUAAGAAAGGGUCAUUAAACUUAUCGAAUUAACUUUUCAUUGAUGUAUUUUUUCAUCGAGAUUUACACUGUUGUCAAUAUAAAUAUUGAAUAGUGAAAAAAAAAACAAAAGAAAUUUCAAUUGACAACAAUAAAAAAUAUUUAAAAAAAAAUACUUGUGUUAGAUUGGCACUGCAAAUCUAAUCCAAAUAAAAUAGAUACAAAAAAGUAUAGAUGAGAGAAUAAAUUAAGUGGAAAACAAGACUACAAUUU
Molecule: long non-coding RNA, 351 nt
Filed under: Nicotiana benthamiana
Lineage: Eukaryota; Viridiplantae; Streptophyta; Magnoliopsida; Solanales; Solanaceae
Description: long non-coding RNA (NBEN_LNC032732)
Source: RNAcentral